CUUUCUUGGACCAACGCAAUAAGAAAUUGGUAUCCCUUUGUUUAUCGAGCCAAACCGGAGAGAGAAACAAACAUGACUCUCCCUUGUUCAAAAUCACAAGUGUUAAUGACGAAUUUCGAUUCAUCACUCUCUUUCUCUGUCGGUAUUGUUUUCAAUCCGAGAGUAAAACCCUCGCAAUCUUCCCUCUUAGAUCUAUCCACCAAGCUAUGAUCUACCUCUUGCCAAAAAAAAAAGCCAGCUAAGAUCUACCCACUGAGGUAUCUCAAUCCAUUUCUGCAAAUCUGAUGGUACAUCAGUCACCGACACAUCUCCGUCUCCUCCAAAUCUGAUGCCACUGAGGAUUUGUUUGAGAUUUUUAUGGGUUGACUCUCCUCUGCAGCCGUCGAUCCGCAACUCUUUCUCUGCGGCUUCUCACAAUUGGGUCACCAAUUCAGUUCUCUCUAUAUAUAUGUUGCAAUACUAGUGGAGAUUGAGGUUGCUUUAAUUGAAAUUAAAAUUCUAAUAUGUUGUUCAUGUACUGUGGACUCGAGUACAGUUGCAGUGGCAAUUGAAACUCUUAAGAAUCUUGAUUGAUUAUCUGUUUGAUUAUCAGGUAUGAAAUUUCAGAAAUGGGUAUUGUUUCACCAAUCUCUUAAGUUCCAUUUUAAGUUGAACAUGAAUUCUCUGUAAUUCUUGUGGAUAAUUUUCACUGCCUUAUAGUACUCUUAAUUAUGUCAUUCAUCUUCUCUUGAAUCUAUUAGAUUUUUUUGUGCCUUACUUGGACAUGCAUACAACUCUUGAAAUCAUUUUUAGUUCCUAUACAACAUCUGUUCUCAAACUAUUGAUAUGCUCCUUUAUUCAAUUGACCAACUUUCAUUAUAUUUUACAGUUCUUCUGAAAUCAAACUUGAAAUUUUUUUUGUCAGGUGGUGCUAUGACUUUUGUUAGAAGAACUCUUCAACCCAGGUUUUUCAUUUCACUAACUUCACUCUUGGAAUAGUGGAAUACUCUAUUUUCUGCUUUUUUAUGGUAGUGUAGUUUAGGUAUAAUUCAUUAUUGUUUUCCCUCUAUUGUUUCAGUAAUUUGCUUUCAUACUUAAGUACGAGCUGCUGAAGUUAUUGUGAUUCAAACUAUGAGAUGUGAAAAUGCUCGUUGGGACUUGCUGCUAAAUUUGGCUCAGCAAGUGUAGCUGUUCCAGGAUAUCAAGAAGGCGCUAUUAAGACAAUUGCACAUAAGGUUGCAGCAUAAAUGAGGCAAAGCUGGUAUACAAAAUAUUCUUAGGUUCUGUAUGCAUUAUUAUGUGGUUGCUAGAAGUUGGCAAUUGAUCUUACAUGUUUUACAGUUUGAUCCUUGGUACCAUAAUUAUUAGUGAAAUGCUCUUGUUUCUUUCAUGUGUUGAGAAAUCUAAAGUUGUAAUUGAAUGGUUUCAGGAAAUUUAUAAUUAAAUAUUUUGGGAUGAUUGA
Long non-coding RNA from Rosa rugosa (rugosa rose), 1441 nucleotides. RefSeq lists it as uncharacterized. Lineage: Eukaryota; Viridiplantae; Streptophyta; Magnoliopsida; Rosales; Rosaceae. The transcript is spliced from 4 exons. The record is from RefSeq and is a predicted model, not a curated record.